This 205-nucleotide microRNA precursor is filed under the name Oryza barthii. RNAcentral describes it as "MIR812 microRNA precursor family". It matches the Rfam family "MIR812 microRNA precursor family". Lineage: Eukaryota; Viridiplantae; Streptophyta; Magnoliopsida; Poales; Poaceae. The record is from Rfam by way of RNAcentral.
UUUCCGACCCUUUUGCACUGUUUAUAUUUAACGUUUAACCAUUUAUCUUAUUUGAAAAUUUUUUAUAAUUAGUAUUCUUAUUGUUAUUAGAUGAUAACACAUUAAUAAUACUUUAUGUGUGACUAUUUUUUUUAUUUUUUUAUAAAUUUUUUAAAUAAGACGGACGGUCAAACGUUGGACACAGAUCCCCACAACUGUACUUAUU